AUAGUGAUAGUGGUGACGGGGCCUCCAAAAGUUGGAAAGAGCACUUUGAUAUAAUGCCUCAUUGGGAACUUCACCCAGCAGAAGUUGACCGAGAUCAGAGGCCCUGUGAUGAUCGUGUCAGGUAAAAAGCUCCGACUCACCAUUAUUGAAUGUGGGUGUGACAUUAACAUGAUGAUUGAUCUGGCUGAAGUAGCAGAUCUGGUUGCCAAGCUGUUCUACCUUUCUGGAAUGGUGCAUGGAGAAUAUCAAGACCAAGAAAUCCACAAUCUGGGCCAUUUUAUUACAGUUAUGAAGUUUAGGCCUCUCACAUGGCAGACGUCUCAUCCUUAUAUCCUGGCAGACAGGAUGGAAGAUUUGAAAAACCCAGAGGAUAUCUGAACAAAAUGUGACUGGCAGGUGUCACUUUAUGGUUAUUUAAGAGGAGCACACUUGAAAAAUAAAAGCCAAAUUCACAUGCCAGGUAUCUACUGAGCGUUUCAGUCAACAAUACAGCUCGUGUUCGACAAUAUUCCUUGAUGGCAGCACAGCCAGCCAGCAUUAUCUUAUAAUGACAAUAAUAUCGCACUGAGAAGCCUUUUAGGAAAAUCAGGAUGGAUGUGAGGCAUCUUUCUGUGAAGAAAAGCAUCCCAGAAGAUUCUGAUUUUCACCACAGCUCAAUCAUUCCAAACUUUGCUGCUGAUUGAAAUCACCUGGGAAACGUUUACCAAGAACCUUGAUGCCCAAAGCCAUACCCAAUACUAAUUAAAUUAAAAUGUCUCAUGUUGAAGAUGAGGCAGAUAUUAAAGCUUCUCAGGCGAUUUUAAUGUGCAGCGAAGUUUGAGAGCCACUGCUUAAUUUGAGUUUAGGACGAGAAACUGCUCCUAUUUGGUGGGACCUUGGGCAAGUCAGUUUUAAGUGUGACCUUGGAGAUACAUCAUCAUAUCACGGAAAGAGAUGCAGAUAGAUCUUUGACCAUACUUGAUGAACAGUUAUACUCAUUUGCGUUCAUGCCGUGGAAGAAGUGGUGAAGGAGGUGGUGGGACACGCCAAGGAGACUGGAGAGAAAGCCAUUGCUGAAGCCAUAAAGAAAGCCCAAGAGUCAGGGGACAAAAAGAUGAAGGAAAUCACUGAGACAGUGACCAACACAGUCACAAAUGCCAUCACCCAUGCAGCAGAGAGUCUGGACAAACUUGGACAGUGAGUGCACCUGCUACCACGGCCCUUCCCCAGUCUCAAUAAAAAGCCAUGACAUGUGUACA
Long non-coding RNA from Homo sapiens (human), 1238 nucleotides. The record is from Ensembl. NCBI's taxonomy places the organism in Eukaryota, Metazoa, Chordata, Mammalia, Primates, Hominidae.